UCAGAACGAACGCUGGCGGCAGGCCUAACACAUGCAAGUCGAGCGCACUCUUCGGAGUGAGCGGCGGACGGGUUAGUAACGCGUGGGAAUAUACCCUUCACUACGGAAUAGCCUCGGGAAACUGAGAGUAAUACCGUAUACGCCCUUCGGGGGAAAGAUUUAUCGGUGAAGGAUUAGCCCGCGUCUGAUUAGAUAGUUGGUGGGGUAAUGGCCUACCAAGUCUACGAUCAGUAGCUGGUUUGAGAGGAUGAUCAGCAACACUGGGACUGAGACACGGCCCAGACUCCUACGGGAGGCAGCAGUGGGGAAUCUUAGACAAUGGGCGCAAGCCUGAUCUAGCCAUGCCGCGUGAGUGACGAAGGCCUUAGGGUCGUAAAGCUCUUUCGCCAGAGAUGAUAAUGACAGUAUCUGGUAAAGAAACCCCGGCUAACUCCGUGCCAGCAGCCGCGGUAAUACGGAGGGGGUUAGCGUUGUUCGGAAUUACUGGGCGUAAAGCGUACGUAGGCGGAUUAGAAAGUAGGGGGUGAAAUCCCAGGGCUCAACCCUGGAACUGCCUCCUAAACUACUAGUCUAGAGUUCGAGAGAGGUGAGUGGAAUUCCAAGUGUAGAGGUGAAAUUCGUAGAUAUUUGGAGGAACACCAGUGGCGAAGGCGGCUCACUGGCUCGAUACUGACGCUGAGGUACGAAAGUGUGGGGAGCAAACAGGAUUAGAUACCCUGGUAGUCCACACCGUAAACGAUGAAUGCCAGACGUCGGGGGGCUUGCCCUUCGGUGUCACACCUAACGGAUUAAGCAUUCCGCC
Molecule: ribosomal RNA, 802 nt
Filed under: Loktanella sp.
Lineage: Bacteria; Pseudomonadati; Pseudomonadota; Alphaproteobacteria; Rhodobacterales; Roseobacteraceae
Description: bacterial SSU rRNA
Rfam family: Bacterial small subunit ribosomal RNA
Source: RNAcentral